GGGGAUUUAGCUCAGUGGUGUAGCACCUGCCUGGCAAGCACAUGAACCUGAAUUCAAUCCCCA
This 63-nucleotide transfer RNA is filed under the name Fukomys damarensis (Damara mole-rat). It matches the Rfam family "tRNA". Rfam says of the family: Transfer RNA (tRNA) molecules are approximately 80 nucleotides in length. Their secondary structure includes four short double-helical elements and three loops (D, anti-codon, and T loops). Lineage: Eukaryota; Metazoa; Chordata; Mammalia; Rodentia; Bathyergidae. The record is from Rfam by way of RNAcentral.